GAUGAACGCUGGCGGCGUGCCUAAUACAUGCAAGUCGAACGAGUGGCGGACGGGUGAGUAAUGUCUGGGAAACUGCCCGAUGGAGGGGGAAAACUACUGGAAACGGUAGCUAAAACCGCAUACCAUCGGAUGUGCCCAGAUGGGAUUAGCUAGUAGGUGGGGUAACGGCUCACCUAGGCGACGAUCCCUGGCUGGUCUGAGAGGAUGACCAGCCACACUGUAACUGAGACACGGUCCAGACGCCUACGGGAGGCAGCAGUGGGGAAUAUUGCACAAUGGGCUCAAGCCUGAUGCAGCCAUGCCGCGUGUAUGAAGAAGGCCUUCGGGUUGUAAAGUACUUUCAUCGUGGAGGCGUUACUCGCAGAAGAAGCACCGGCUAACUCCGUGCCAGCAGCCGCGGUAAUUC
This 406-nucleotide ribosomal RNA is filed under the name uncultured bacterium. Its description in RNAcentral is "partial 16S ribosomal RNA". It matches the Rfam family "Bacterial small subunit ribosomal RNA", at positions 28 to 526 of the family's 1533-position model. The record is from RNAcentral.